Molecule: non-coding RNA, 150 nt
Organism: Caenorhabditis elegans
Lineage: Eukaryota; Metazoa; Nematoda; Chromadorea; Rhabditida; Rhabditidae
Source: Ensembl
GCAUUGACUUCGGCAACUGGUCGGAGAUUUCCCCAUGGCAUCGUGAAGUACUUGCAUCCAUCCCAGUUUGGCUCUGCUGGCAGUGUUGAGCUAUUGCAUGAUCUGAACUCGUUGCUCGUGCUUCCAAAUGAACCGAUUGACAUCAUUAUG